Molecule: long non-coding RNA, 231 nt
Filed under: Daucus carota (carrot)
Lineage: Eukaryota; Viridiplantae; Streptophyta; Magnoliopsida; Apiales; Apiaceae
Description: long non-coding RNA (DCAR_LNC004145)
Source: RNAcentral
GUGAACUUUUCUUCAACUUUCCCUUGGGCUUGCGAAUAUCAUUGUAUGAUUGUCAUGAUUUUAGUUGUUAUAUGCUGAUCUGAUAAUUAUAUGAUAUUGCAUAGGUAAUCAUUAUUUUAUCUUAGUUAAAUUGUGAUCCAUGACAAUUAUAUGCAUAUUUGUUUCAUGAUUGACUUUGAUAGAAUAAUAGAAGCAUGAUUAAUUCAUUUUUGAAAUAUUUAAUUGGUAUCU